GCGGAUGUAGCCCAGUGGAUCAAGGCAGUGGAUUGUG
RNAcentral lists this transfer RNA (37 nucleotides) under Anathallis guarujaensis. RNAcentral describes it as "partial tRNA-His". The record is from RNAcentral. Lineage: Eukaryota; Viridiplantae; Streptophyta; Magnoliopsida; Asparagales; Orchidaceae.